AUCAGGGAUCUUGCGCAAUGGACGAAAGUCUGACGCAGCGACGCCGCGUGGGUGAUGACGUCUUUCGGGAUGUAAAGCCCUUUUUCAGGGGACGAUAAUGACGGUACCCUGAGAAUAAGCCCCGGCUAACUACGUGCCAGCAGCCGCGGUAAUACGUAGGGGGCGAGCGUUGUCCGGAAUUACUGGGCGUAAAGGGCGCGUAGGCGGCGCUUUAAGUCCGCGGUGAAAGCCCGGGGCUCAACCCCGGAGGGUCCGCGGAGACUGGAGCACUGGAGGCUCGGAGAGGAGUGCGGAAUCCCUGGUGUAGCGGUGGAAUGCGUAGAGAUCAGGGGGAACACCGAUGGCGAAGGCAGCACUCUGGCCGAGAACUGACGCUGAGGCGCGAAAGCUGGGGGAGCGAACGG
RNAcentral lists this ribosomal RNA (404 nucleotides) under uncultured bacterium. RNAcentral describes it as "bacterial SSU rRNA". It matches the Rfam family "Bacterial small subunit ribosomal RNA", at positions 354 to 775 of the family's 1533-position model. The record is from RNAcentral.